GGAGAGGUGACCGAGCGGCCGAAGGUGCAGCACUGGAAAUGCUGUGUACCCUUACGGGUACCGGGGGUUCGAAUCCCCCCCUCUCCGCCA
Molecule: transfer RNA, 90 nt
Filed under: Lentisphaerota bacterium
Lineage: Bacteria; Pseudomonadati; Lentisphaerota
Description: Lentisphaerae bacterium (anaerobic digester metagenome) tRNA-Ser
Rfam family: tRNA
About the family: Transfer RNA (tRNA) molecules are approximately 80 nucleotides in length.
Source: RNAcentral